UGGACCUACGGGACGCAGCAGUGGGGAAUAUUGGGCAAUGGGCGCAAGCCUGACCCAGCAAUGCCGCGUGAAGGAAGAAGGCCCUCGGGUUGUAAACUUCUUUUAUCAGGGACGAAGGAUGUGACGGUACCUGAUGAAUAAGCUCCGGCUAACUACGUGCCAGCAGCCGCGGUAAUACGUAGGGAGCAAGCGUUAUCCGGAUUUACUGGGUGUAAAGGGCGCGUAGGCGGGAUGGCAAGUCAGAUGUGAAUUCCAGGGGCGCAACCCCUGAACUGCAUUUGAAACUGUCGGUCUUGA
RNAcentral lists this ribosomal RNA (297 nucleotides) under uncultured bacterium. RNAcentral's name for it is "partial 16S ribosomal RNA". It matches the Rfam family "Bacterial small subunit ribosomal RNA", at positions 334 to 645 of the family's 1533-position model. The record is from RNAcentral.